AGAAUUGACGGGGCCGCACAAGCGGUGGAGCAUGUGGUUAAUUCGACGCAACGCGAAGAACCUUACCAGGGCUUGACAUCCCCUGACCGCGUAUGAAAGUACGUUUUCACCCUCGGGUGACAGGGAGACAGGUGGUGCAUGGUUGUCGUCAGCUCGUGUCGUGAGAUGUUGGGUUAAGUCCCGCAACGAGCGCAACCCCUAUGUUUAGUUGCUAACAGGUGAAGCUGAGCACUCUAGACGAACUGCCGUUGACAAAACGGAGGAAGGUGGGGAUGACGUCAAAUCAUCAUGCCCCUUAUGUUCUGGGCUACACACGUGCUACAAUGGCCGGUACAGACGGAGGCGAAGCCGCGAGGCGGAGCAAAUCCGAAAAAGCCGGUCUCAGUUCGGAUUGCAGGCUGCAAUUCGCCUGCAUGAAGUCGGAAUCGCUAGUAAUCGCGGAUCAGCACGCCGCGGUGAAUACGUUCCCGGGCCUU
RNAcentral lists this ribosomal RNA (476 nucleotides) under uncultured Pelotomaculum sp. RNAcentral describes it as "bacterial SSU rRNA". It matches the Rfam family "Bacterial small subunit ribosomal RNA", at positions 907 to 1382 of the family's 1533-position model. Lineage: Bacteria; Bacillati; Bacillota; Clostridia; Eubacteriales; Desulfotomaculaceae. The record is from RNAcentral.